ACGUAGGGACCGAGCGUUGUCCGGAAUCAUUGGGCGUAAAGAGCGUGUAGGCGGCCACUUAAGUCCUGCGUGAAAUCUUGCGGCUCAACCGCAAGCGGUCGUGGGAAACUGGGUGGCUUGAGUACGGGAGAGGUGAGUGGAAUUCCCAGUGUAGAGGUGAAAUUCGUAGAUAUUGGGAAGAACACCGGUGGCGAAGGCGGCUCACUGGCCCGUAACUGACGCUCAUGCACGACAGCGUGGGGAUCAAACAGGA
Molecule: ribosomal RNA, 253 nt
Filed under: uncultured prokaryote
Description: partial 16S ribosomal RNA
Rfam family: Bacterial small subunit ribosomal RNA
Source: RNAcentral